UAUUCCUGAAAGGCUUCUGACGUAAAAGCUUCUAGGGGGCAUUUAAAUUUUAUUCUAUCACCUCCUACCAGCGUAUCACUCUGACACUGCCGAUGGAGCUGAGCAAACAAACCAAGUUCACGCGUCAGGAUUGUUAAGUUACAUUUAUUGUUUCGUCACGGCUUGUUAUAAAUUGAACGGGGGAAUAAGUACACUUGUAGUGAGUGCACCAUCUGCAGGACCAAUAAAAACUGGAAACUGAUAAAGACUCCAUCGCAUUUCUAGUGGCGCUUCUCUCUAGUACCAUGGGCGCAGAAUUUCUUAUGUGGAAAUACAGACCUGCGCUUUUGGUCACGGUGCUAUUUUUUGUCGUCUUUAAGAUGCACUUAACUUCAACUGACAACAGUGUUGCACCUGUUGGUAAAUUAUAUACCAGAGGGAAUCACUGGGCAGUAGGACACCUCAUGGGGAAGAAGAGCACAGGGUCAGUGGCAAGCAAAAGAAUCAGUUACCAGCCUCUGCAAUCUCCUGAAGAAGACGAGCAGCUGGACACAUACUCACAACCAUCCAGUCUGGUCAGAGGCCUCAUCAGGGUCCUGACUGGGCAAGAGAGCCGGACUGAGGUAAUCCCACACAGGGAAUGGCUCUGGACAGGAAGAGAGAGUGGGAGGAAAGACGAGAAAGACAGGACCCAUGACAGAGGCAACUGACUUCCUGCUAGAAGCUCUCAGCAUGAAGGACAGCAACUUUAGCUGAAGAUAGGGGUCCUGUUAAAAACAUGCCUUUGUAAGCAUUUUAUUUAAGACAGUAGUACCUGCCAUUAACAAAAUUUGUCUGAAACAAAUUGGAUUGUAUGUCUGCCUUUGUUUUAGUUUUUUUUGUAUUUAUAUUUUAAUAGCCCAUUCAUGUUAUUUUUGUAAUUGAACACUUCAAUAGGUCCACUUUAUGCUAUUUCUGUUACUGAUAUCUAUAUUAUACCAGUCAUAAUCUCUAUAUUUUAAUAUACAGCAAUGCUUGUGUUUUCUCCACCAUAAUAUUUGUUACUUUUUACAUCAACGUUGUAUUAAACAUAUAUAAUAAAUUGAAACUGUUUGAAUAGGCGCAUUGGGCAUCAGAGGGCUUUCAUUUUGAGGACUUGUUUGUUUUCAAACCUUUUGCUUGUACUAUAAAUACAUAUAUAAAACAAUAUGGCUGAAAGAUAGAAAUGACAA
This is a long non-coding RNA of Anguilla rostrata (American eel), 1190 nucleotides long. RefSeq lists it as uncharacterized. The transcript has 3 exons. Lineage: Eukaryota; Metazoa; Chordata; Actinopteri; Anguilliformes; Anguillidae. The record is from RefSeq and is a predicted model, not a curated record.